This 591-nucleotide long non-coding RNA is filed under the name Mytilus galloprovincialis (Mediterranean mussel). Lineage: Eukaryota; Metazoa; Mollusca; Bivalvia; Mytilida; Mytilidae. The record is from RNAcentral.
UUUCUUUUUUUAGGUCUUUCCACUUUUCUGUGGAAAGACCUAUUGUUUUUCUUCUGAUUAUUUUUUUUUUUCUUCCGCCUAAUUUUGUUCUUGCGAUAAACAUUUGUUUCGCAAUAUGUCGCUUAGAUAUUUGGUAUAUGAUAUCGAACAGUUUAUGCGCUUUUGAAAUUUACCCUGCGUAAACGAAUACUUUUCUUUGUAGGAGUUAUCUCCCCAAACACUGUUUUCCUUGUUAGCGCAACUCCUUCGCAACCGUAAAAUAUUAUGACAAAUUUAUUUUACAAAAUUGCUCGUUAUAUCCUUCGCAUGAUUUGUCCUAUUUUGACCGAAGCGAUAUGAACGUUCCAUAUGAGAGUUAUUUCCCCUUAUGCAUUUGUUAUAAGUGAUAUGCAUUUCUAUCUUGUAAACCAUAAGUGCUAGAGACCUAGAAUCUUUAGAUUUAAGGUCCUGGGUCCAAAAAAAUGAAAAUUAGGUCAAGGUCAAAGGUCAAGGUCAAAUUCUAAAUUUUGAUUUUGGCUUAUUUUCACUCUUUUCCAUUAUUUUUAUAAGAUUUCGACAAAUUAUUUUUACUAAAUUGUUAGUUGCGACAUG